This 156-nucleotide small RNA is filed under the name Lentisphaerota bacterium. Its description in RNAcentral is "Lentisphaerae bacterium c-di-AMP sequence". It matches the Rfam family "c-di-AMP riboswitch aptamer (ydaO/yuaA leader)". Rfam says of the family: This family represents a conserved RNA structure found upstream of the ydaO and yuaA genes in Bacillus subtilis and related genes in other bacteria. The record is from RNAcentral. Lineage: Bacteria; Pseudomonadati; Lentisphaerota.
CCUAAGCCGCCGCCACUUCCUUGGCGUCGGCGUGGGGGACCCAAAAUCCUGGAAGAUUGUCCGGGGAUGGGGCGAAAGGCGGAGGAGAACCUUUGCCAAGGCCACUUUCAAGGCCGAGCCCGUCAGCUAACCUCGCAGGCGUUUGGAAGGGCAGUC